UACGUAGGGAGCGAGCGUUGUCCGGAUUUACUGGGCGUAAAGGGCGCGUAGGCGGUCUGUUUAGUGUGAAGUGAAAUCUCCAGGGCUCAACCCGGAAACUGCUUUGCAAACUGGCAGACUAGAGGAAGGUAGAGGUAAGUGGAAUUCCCGGUGUAGCGGUGACAUGCAUUGAUACCGGGAGGAACACCCAUGGCGAAGGCAGCUUACUGGACCUUAUCUGACGCUGAGGCGCGAAAGCGUGGGUAGCAAACAGG
RNAcentral lists this ribosomal RNA (254 nucleotides) under uncultured bacterium. Its description in RNAcentral is "partial 16S ribosomal RNA". It matches the Rfam family "Bacterial small subunit ribosomal RNA", at positions 524 to 776 of the family's 1533-position model. The record is from RNAcentral.